GUGUGGAAUAUUGGACAAUGGGCGCAAGCCUGAUCCAGCCAUGCCGCGUGCAGGAAGACGCAUCUAUGGUGUGUAAACUGCUUUUGUACGGGAAGAAACACUCCCUCGUGAGGGAGCUUGACGGUACCGUAAGAAUAAGGAUCGGCUAACUCCGUGCCAGCAGCCGCGGUAAUACGGAGGAUCCAAGCGUUAUCCGGAAUCAUUGGGUUUAAAGGGUCCGUAGGCGGUUUAAUAAGUCAGUGGUGAAAGCCCAUCGCUCAACGAUGGAACGGCCAUUGAUACUGUUAGACUUGAAUUACAAGGAAGUAACUAGAAUAUGUAGUGUAGCGGUGAAAUGCUUAGAUAUUACAUGGAAUACCAAUUGCGAAGGCAGGUUACUACUUGUGGAUUGACGCUGAUGGACGAAAGCGUGGGGAGCGAACAGGAUUAGAUACCCGAGUAGUCC
Molecule: ribosomal RNA, 445 nt
Filed under: uncultured bacterium
Lineage: Bacteria
Description: partial 16S ribosomal RNA
Rfam family: Bacterial small subunit ribosomal RNA
Source: RNAcentral